Molecule: small nucleolar RNA, 80 nt
Organism: Ipomoea nil (Japanese morning glory)
Lineage: Eukaryota; Viridiplantae; Streptophyta; Magnoliopsida; Solanales; Convolvulaceae
Rfam family: Small nucleolar RNA Z102/R77
About the family: Z102 and R77 and are members of the C/D class of snoRNA which contain the C (UGAUGA) and D (CUGA) box motifs.
Source: Rfam
GAUUGAAAUGAUGAAUAUUCAAUCAUAUUGAUAGCUGAAAUGAUAGCAUUUUAUCAUGUAUUAGCUCUAGCUGAUCACUC